Molecule: long non-coding RNA, 1437 nt
Filed under: Anas platyrhynchos platyrhynchos (common mallard)
Lineage: Eukaryota; Metazoa; Chordata; Aves; Anseriformes; Anatidae
Description: lncRNA (ENSAPLG00000027004.1)
Source: RNAcentral
GUUUUUUAGCAUUAGACACCAAAAAGAAGCAUCUAUAGGAAUUCAUCCAGUUGAAAUAGUGUCUAGUAUUUGUAACCACUGUAAUAAUCACUAGAACUCCAUGACAAUAUAACUUCUUCAGCUGCUUUCUUUGACAAGUUUGUUACAUAAUUUGCAGAUAAAUUGGCUCUGGUCUGAUGAAGUAAGCUGUAGCAGUCAUUAGAAUUUUAUCUUCAUUUGGAAUCUGUUUGGUUUCUGAUUAGGAUUAUUUUUUUAUUUUUUUUUUUACCAUUUUUUCCAGGUUCCAUACAGAUCUGGCCCAGAAGCAGAACUUCAGCUCCAGAAAAGAGAUAAGAUUUUGAAAGGGAAAUUAUUGCAAAUCAAGUCAAUAACUCCUCCCAGACAGACAAUAUUUUCAUAGAGCUGCAAUUCCACAAUAUUUGGUUCGAGAAACAAAACAGCAUCACUACUACAGGGACAGAUUCAUAUUUCCAAGCCAAAAUGUGCUCCAUAUGUGAUGGCAUGUGCAGCUGGUGCAGAGCUCCAGAGCUACAGCUUGCUGACCCUAGCUAGUUAGCUGCCCCAUAGCCAAAUAACCCACCCACCAGAAAGGCAUCUGGUCAGAAGUGGUCUCCCAGGGAAGUCUUCACUUGCUGUUGAGUGGACUUCAUCUUUGCUGUCCAGACAGAAUGAUGUGGACAGGCAUCUUCCACAGAAAGAAUUGCCAAGCAGAUGUCCUUCCUCAAACCACCUUUUACAAACAGCCUUGCAGAGUAAGCCCUGUUUCAUGAACCCAAAUGAAAUUACAGAAUGGCAGGAAGGAGGAGUCAUUUAUCACAUGAAGAUACUGGCAGAAACAAGGAGGAACAGUGAGUCAGAGGGCAGGUAAGACACAUAAACUCAUUUGGGGAACAUUCCCUGUGUUGCAGAUUUACGAUCCAUCAGUCUAAGCUCUCCUUUGUAUGAACAAAAGUCCAAGAUCGGUUAUUUAGUACAUUAUUUGCCAUAUUUUUUUGCAAAACUUAUUUUAGCCAUCUUUUAUCUGAGGACAGACCACAACAAUAUAAAAAACAAGGUAGAGCAGAACAAUGGGGAAGGUAACUUAUUCUGCAGCCCCUAGAUUUGUUAUCACAAGCUGCUUCUUCAUUUAACAUCUCCACUAUGCCUUUCUCCAUAAAGCAUUAUGUUUUUGCUCUGAAUUAAAACUGAACUAUUUGCUGUUUGAUGUGAAGGCUUUUUUUUUACAGAUUAUUUAAGGCACAAUUUCUGUUUAUGGUCCCAGGGUACAUUCUAAUCACCUUUGUUUACCUCAUAUUCCUUUCCUAAUUAACUGACAACCUAUUAGCAUACUUUUUUUUUUCCCCAGGAGUAUUAAUUAUACAUAAUUUAUAUCAUAAGCAUUUAUUCCUUAUCAGUCAGCUGAAUAAAACAUUUACCUGUUUAUAGCUACUUGAGGUU